GCUGCUAUGGUGAAAUGGUAGACACAUAACUUUCAAAAAGUUACAGAGAAAUCUAUAUCGGUUCAACUCCGAUUAGCAGUA
RNAcentral lists this transfer RNA (81 nucleotides) under Prototheca wickerhamii. RNAcentral's name for it is "tRNA-Leu". It matches the Rfam family "tRNA". Rfam says of the family: Transfer RNA (tRNA) molecules are approximately 80 nucleotides in length. Their secondary structure includes four short double-helical elements and three loops (D, anti-codon, and T loops). Further hydrogen bonds mediate the characteristic L-shaped molecular structure. tRNAs have two regions of fundamental functional importance: the anti-codon, which is responsible for specific mRNA codon recognition, and the 3' end, to which the tRNAs corresponding amino acid is attached (by aminoacyl-tRNA synthetases). tRNAs cope with the degeneracy of the genetic code in two manners: having more than one tRNA (with a specific anti-codon) for a particular amino acid; and 'wobble' base-pairing, i.e. permitting non-standard base-pairing at the 3rd anti-codon position. The record is from RNAcentral. Lineage: Eukaryota; Viridiplantae; Chlorophyta; Trebouxiophyceae; Chlorellales; Chlorellaceae.